Molecule: ribosomal RNA, 200 nt
Filed under: uncultured Chlorophyceae
Lineage: Eukaryota; Viridiplantae; Chlorophyta; Chlorophyceae
Description: partial Bacterial small subunit ribosomal RNA
Rfam family: Bacterial small subunit ribosomal RNA
Source: RNAcentral
GGUAAUUACAAAGGGAUGCAAUGAUUCAAGUCGGAGCAAAGCCUAAAAAAUUAUCUUAGUUCGGAUUGGUCUCUGCAACUCGGGACCAUGAAGCUGGAAUCACUAGUAAUCGUGGAUCAGCACGCCACGGUGAAUCUGUUCUCGGGCUUUGUACACACCGCCCGUCACACCGGGGAAGCCGGACUGAUCUAAAAACUUUA